Scleropages formosus (Asian bonytongue) is the source of this 769-nucleotide long non-coding RNA. RefSeq lists it as uncharacterized. Lineage: Eukaryota; Metazoa; Chordata; Actinopteri; Osteoglossiformes; Osteoglossidae. The transcript has 3 exons. The record is from RefSeq and is a predicted model, not a curated record.
GUUAGGGAUCUCGUCUCAUCCCUCAUCUCUGGCCACCGCUGGACUCCAGGGCAAAUCUUUACGACCAACUGCUGUCAUGCAGGGUCAAGCUUCACUACCUGGACAGGUUUCCCAUGUGGUUCAUCCACCAGAAACGCUGGCUGCUGUGGAACAGUUUACAUCAGAAUGAGACCCAUUGCCAUCCUGCAUGGAACCAUCACCCGCAAAGCUCCAUUCUUCUACACCUGUAGGAACCCAGCCGCCCAUUGGGACGUCUCCUGCCAGGGACCAGAAGAGCUCAAUGACAGCAUGGCUGUCACAGCAAAGCCCAAGCAGUGCUGAGACCUGGCCUGUUCUUUUCUCCUUCUGGGUCAAUAAAGACCCUUGGUCCUUUCCUGGGCUCCGACCAAUUCGUACCAUUGUCCUCUGCUGCAGUCCCGCUCCGCUGCCAUCUAUAAACGCUAUUAAUUAUGAUGCACAUCAUAUGAAGACAUUUAUUCUGACGGCAGGAGAGCUCACAGAAUGCGAAAGAUCUAUAUCUGCACCAGACUGAAGGACAAAGGGUACAAGGUAGAAUCUGAUGACAUGAUACAGAUUACAGAGAGACAAAACAUAAAAUUGACAGCCCUCCAAUCUGACGGUACAUCGAUUUAGACGCCGUUCUUCUGAGACGUUAUCUACUGUUCUGUCCUUCCAGCAGCGCUGUGCUCAUGAUGCUUUCCUCCAAAGUGACGUACAAUCGCCGUGAUGCCCGGCAAACCAACACAACAGAUUCAUGCCACCAUCACUG